RNAcentral lists this ribosomal RNA (249 nucleotides) under Gammaproteobacteria bacterium. RNAcentral's name for it is "partial 16S ribosomal RNA". It matches the Rfam family "Bacterial small subunit ribosomal RNA", at positions 1 to 267 of the family's 1533-position model. Lineage: Bacteria; Pseudomonadati; Pseudomonadota; Gammaproteobacteria. The record is from RNAcentral.
GAACUGAAGAGUUUGAUCCUGGCUCAGAUUGAACGCUGGCGGCAUGCCUAACACAUGCAAGUCGAACGCGAAAUCACCUUCGGGUGAAAGUAGAGUGGCGGACGGGUGAGUAAUGCUUGGGAAUCUGCCCAGUAGUGGGGGAUAACUCGGGGAAACUCGAGCUAAUACCGCAUACGCCCUACGGGGGAAAGAUUUAUCGCUAUUGGAUGAGCCCAAGUCGGAUUAGCUAGUUGGUAGGGUAAUGGCCUA